Triticum aestivum (bread wheat) is the source of this 2604-nucleotide long non-coding RNA. RefSeq lists it as uncharacterized. The transcript has 11 exons. The record is from RefSeq and is a predicted model, not a curated record. NCBI's taxonomy places the organism in Eukaryota, Viridiplantae, Streptophyta, Magnoliopsida, Poales, Poaceae.
GGCAGACGGCAAACAGCCCACACGGCCACGCAGCACAUGCCCCCGAAAAAAAGGGAUUCUCCGUCAGCGAGACCAGUGGCAGACGGCAAAACAGCCCAGUCCACUGGUAGUAUAGCCCAACCCGGUUGGACGCGACGAAAAAAAACAAAACAGAUCGCAGCGCCAGCCCCUCCCCUCGACCCGCACCACCAGAAUAGAGAGCGCUGCUAGGGUUCCAGCGCCGCCGGCGCCGUUCUCCAGCGCCGCCGCCGCCCCCUCCUACACCGCGCCCCCAACCCCUCCUCUAAUGGCCGCACCGUUGCCGGAAUCUCCUCCCGUGCCCUAGCGCCGCCGCGCCGGCACCACCGCUGCCGGGAACCACCUCCACCGCCGCAGGACAGCACCGCUACAGGGCACCACCUUCGCCGCUGCUGGACUGCAAAGGAGAGGCAGUUGCACGGCCGCCGGACACCAUCUCCCCCUCUGCCCCAUCUGCCCCCACGGGAUCAAUCUUUUCACCUCCAGGAGCACUGUUGGUCCUGUUGCCGUUGCCAUCGCCGUCUACUACCUCCUCUACGGAUCAUCUAGGGGUGAGUGAAGCAUGGUGGGCUUGCAUCGGAAAAGGGGUAACCCGGCAAAUAAGGCCCCACUUCCCCUAGCGAGAAAUUUGAUUGACAGUUUUCUCGCCGAUCCUCCUCAGGCUUCUUCUCAGGCUCAUCGAGUAAAAGGAAGAGGUCGGGGAAGAGCUGGAGGAAAGGCUAGGAGAAACCCGGUUCGGCCUCCCUCGCCACCACCUGUCGUGACACCACUUGAGGAUGAGGGGGUGGAGGACGAGCCGGUGUCUCAAUCCCCCAUGUCUGAGGAGGAGAGGGUGGAUGAGCGGUUGUCGCCGGAGGAGGAUGAGGAUCGGUCAGGGGCCCUGACCACCGACGAGGAGAAUGAUGGUUUUAUCCAAGUUGAGGAGGGUCGAACCGUGUACAUGCGUGGUUCGUCAAGGCUCCCAGAACGAGGGCUUCCUGUCGAGCAGAGGCCAUGUAUUGCUCCAUAUGGAGAAAGCGGUUGGACGACAGUUGGAGAUUCCCACGGUAAGAAGCACCGGCUCAUGAAUGGCAUCCUUGGGAUCCUCUUGAGGGAGCAUUACCCUGGCAUGGUUACUUUGCCUGGGGAGGGCAAUGUUCCGGAACCAGCACGGACUUGGUACCACUACGUAGCCUAUGAGGAUCUUGGUGUAGCCAACAACAUCGAGUUUCACAACAAAGCGGAGCGGGUCUUUGCCGAACUUUGGGAUUUCUAUAGAUGCGAGGAUGGGAACUUGGAGGAGGCACGAGCAAUCGUCAACCACCAUUGUAAGAGCUUGUGCGCAAUCUGAUGCAUGAGGCGCGCCCUUUAGCCGUCCGCAGGUAUAAGGUUACUCCGAGAUGGUGUGUCGACAAGGGGGAGUGCUGGGAGCGGAUCGUGGACUACUGGUGUUCCGAAGAGUAUAGGGAGAAAAACCUAGAUUAUAAAAAUCGGCGAGCCGCAAUGGAGGAUCCACCACACCAUCAAGGCAACUUGAACCUUAAUGGGUUCGGCCAACGUUGGGCGUCUCAUAAUAAGGCUCUGGAGCCCAACCUUUUUGUGGCGUACGCUUUGGCCCAUAAGGGAUCGUUCCGAUCUGCCACGCCUUACGAUGAGAAUGCACAUUGCCUGCCUACACCAGCAAGACCGCCUAUGAUCGAAUGGACAAAUUUAAAAGGAAGGUAAAAGAGAUGAGAGGGCCUGAGUAUGAUGUGACAUCGGAGCCCCUUGACCACGAGGUGGUUAGGAUCUCUGGAGGUGGUAGGAAACAUGGCAAUGAAGCGAUUGGAGGUGGCAUGUUUCCUAGGUCCUCCCAUCGCACUCUCCCCGAGUACAAAGCUCGGUCAGGUAUCUCAACAUCUUCUAUAUGUCAACGCUCGACUCCAGCAAUGGUUGCGAUGGAGUCUCGACUGGAGGAGCAGAGGCGACUGCUAGAUGAGAAGUUGGAGGAGAGGUUGGCGGAGGAGAGGCGACUGGCGGAUGAGAAGAGGGCGGAGGAGAGGCGACUAGCGGAUGAGAGGAUGCAACAGUACUUUGCAAUGUUUGCGGCUUAUUGUACCCAGAAUGGUAUGCCCGCUAUGCAGAUGCCUGACAUUGCUUCACCCCCUAUGCAUCAAUCAGGCCAUGGGUCAAAUAAUGAUGGAUCUUCACAUGCACCAGGCCCAAAUGCCAAUGACCAUGGUGGUUCUCCGAAUCUUUGAGAUCGAGUAUGGUUGCCACACAGAUGCUCUUUGGACUAUGAUAUGGACAUGAAGAUAUUUGUUGUAGUGCCAAAUUUUACGUACCGAUGCCUGCUUUGUUCAUUUGCUAUGGAAAACUUUGUACUCUUGCUAUGGAAAACUUUGUACUCUCAUAUUUGCUAUGGACUAGCUCGCUAUGGGCAUUUGGUAUACUCUGUGUGGUAUUUGAUAUGAAUGUGUUAUGGAAUAGUGCUAUGAACUGUGUCAUAUUUGCUAUGGAACAGUGCUAUGAAUUGUGUCAUCUGUGCCAAAUUAUGAUAUAUAUUGUGUAUACAAACUGCCAAAUUAUGAUAUAUAUUGUGUAUACAAACUGUGCCAAUUUAUGAUA